This 497-nucleotide ribosomal RNA is filed under the name uncultured bacterium. RNAcentral describes it as "partial 16S ribosomal RNA". It matches the Rfam family "Bacterial small subunit ribosomal RNA", at positions 28 to 507 of the family's 1533-position model. The record is from RNAcentral.
GAUGAACGCUGGCGGCGUGCCUAAUACAUGCAAGUCGAGCGAACAGACGAGGAGCUUGCUCCUUUGACGUUAGCGGCGGACGGGUGAGUAACACGUAGGUAACCUACCUAUAAGACUGGGAUAACUUCGGGAAACCGGAGCUAAUACCGGAUAAUAUUUCGAACCGCUUGGUUCGAUAGUGAAAGAUGGCUUUGCUAUCACUUAUAGAUGGACCUGCGCCGUAUUAGCUAGUUGGUAAGGUAACGGCUUACCAAGGCAACGAUACGUAGCCGACCUGAGAGGGUGAGCGGCCACACUGGAACUGAGACACGGUCCAGACUCCUACGGGAGGCAGCAGUAGGGAAUCUUCCGCAAUGGGCGAAAGCCUGACGGAGCAACGCCGCGUGAGUGAUGAAGGUCUUCGGAUCGUAAAACUCUGUUAUUAGGGAAGAACAAACGUGUAAGUAACUGUGCACGUCUUGACGGUACCUAAUCAGAGAGCCACGGCUAACUACGUG